GGGGAUUUAGCUCAGUGGUAGAGCACUUGCCUAGCAAGAGCAAGGUCCUGGGUUCAGUCCUCAGUCCUCA
Non-coding RNA from Rattus norvegicus (Norway rat), 70 nucleotides. The record is from Rfam. NCBI's taxonomy places the organism in Eukaryota, Metazoa, Chordata, Mammalia, Rodentia, Muridae.